Small nucleolar RNA from Elgaria multicarinata webbii, 138 nucleotides. RefSeq annotates it as small nucleolar RNA SNORA13. Lineage: Eukaryota; Metazoa; Chordata; Lepidosauria; Squamata; Anguidae. The record is from RefSeq and is a predicted model, not a curated record. The transcript has a single exon.
UGCCUUCAGUGUUGCCCAUUCAUCUUGGCUGCUAAUGAAUGUGGUGUCAGAGAAGGCAUAAAACAAACUUCCCCUCUCGCAAACUUGACCUGAGCUUGGAAUUGUUCCUGCCAGGUUUGCUGUGAGUGGGGGACAAUG